AUUGAACGCUGGCGGCAUGCUUUACACAUGCAAGUCGAACGGCAGCGCGGGCUUCGGCCUGGCGGCGAGUGGCGAACGGGUGAGUAAUGCAUCGGAACGUGCCCAGUAGUGGGGGAUAGCCCGGCGAAAGCCGGAUUAAUACCGCAUACGACCUGAGGGUGAAAGCGGGGGACCGAAAGGCCUCGCGCUAUUGGAGCGGCCGAUGUCGGAUUAGCUAGUUGGUGGGGUAAAGGCUUACCAAGGCGACGAUCCGUAGCUGGUCUGAGAGGACGACCAGCCACACUGGGACUUAGCCACGGCCCAGACUCCUACGGGAGGAAGCAGUGGGGAUUUUUGGACAAUGGGGGCAACCCUGCUCCAACCAUUCCGCGUGCGGGAAGAAGGCCUUCGGGUUGUAAACCGCUUUUGUUCGGGAAGAAAUCCUCUGGGCUAAUACCCCGGGGGGAUGACGGUACCGGAAGAAUAAGCGCCGGCUAACUACGUG
This 484-nucleotide ribosomal RNA is filed under the name uncultured bacterium. Its description in RNAcentral is "partial 16S ribosomal RNA". It matches the Rfam family "Bacterial small subunit ribosomal RNA", at positions 28 to 507 of the family's 1533-position model. The record is from RNAcentral.